This 897-nucleotide ribosomal RNA is filed under the name Xylaria hypoxylon. RNAcentral describes it as "LSU rRNA". It matches the Rfam family "Eukaryotic large subunit ribosomal RNA", at positions 39 to 962 of the family's 3401-position model. Lineage: Eukaryota; Fungi; Ascomycota; Sordariomycetes; Xylariales; Xylariaceae. The record is from RNAcentral.
GAUAUCAAUAAGCGGAGGAAAAGAAACCAACAGGGAUUGCCCUAGUAACGGCGAGUGAAGCGGCAACAGCUCAAAUUUGAAAUCUGGCUUUCGGGUCCGAGUUGUAAUUUGUAGAGGAUGCUUUUGGCGCGGUGCCUUCCGAGUUCCCUGGAACGGGACGCCUUAGAGGGUGAGAGCCCCGUACGGUUGGACACCAAGCCUCUGUAAAGCUCCUUCGACGAGUCGAGUAGUUUGGGAAUGCUGCUCUAAAUGGGAGGUAAAUUUCUUCUAAAGCUAAAUAUUGGCCAGAGACCGAUAGCGCACAAGUAGAGUGAUCGAAAGAUGAAAAGCACUUUGAAAAGAGGGUUAAAUAGCACGUGAAAUUGUUGAAAGGGAAGCGUUUGCGACCAGACCUUUUCUUAGCGGAUCAUCCGGUGUUAUCACCGGUGCACUUCGCUAAGUUUAGGCCAGCAUCGGUUUCUGUAGGGGGAUAAAAGCCUUGGGAACGUAGCUCCUUCGGGAGUGUUAUAGCCCUUUGCAUAAUACCCUUCUGGGGACCGAGGACCGCGCUAUAUGCAAGGAUGCUGGCAUAAUGGUCGUCAACGACCCGUCUUGAAACACGGACCAAGGAGUCGAACAUUUAUGCGAGUGUUUGGGUGUUAAACCCUCACGCGUAAUGAAAGUGAACGGAGGUGAGAGCCCUUACGGGUGCAUCAUCGACCGAUCCUGAUGUCUUCGGAUGGAUUUGAGUAAGAGCAUAACUGUUCGGACCCGAAAGAUGGUGAACUAUGCGUGGAUAGGGUGAAGCCAGAGGAAACUCUGGUGGAGGCUCGCAGCGGUUCUGACGUGCAAAUCGAUCGUCAAAUCUGCGCAUGGGGGCGAAAGACUUAUCGAACCAUCUAGUAGCUGGUUACCGCC